This 355-nucleotide long non-coding RNA is filed under the name Homo sapiens (human). Its description in RNAcentral is "non-protein coding lnc-ROPN1B-20:2". Lineage: Eukaryota; Metazoa; Chordata; Mammalia; Primates; Hominidae. The record is from RNAcentral.
CGCGCCGCGCGGACCCACCGAGCCCGCGUUCAGACGCCCCAGCUCCGCCGACAGGCCGCUCGCGCCGGGUCCUUCCUCUUCCCCAGGUGCAGGCAGAGCCCCCAGAGCCAUGGCCAGCCCUUCCGGCAGCUCCGAAGCCACUGGCAAGCCCCGAGGCAGGGAUGGCGGGCCCAGGAGGGAGGAGGACGACGUCCCUCCCGAAGAGAAGAGGCUGCGGCUGUUGCUGGAGAGGGGAAGCGCGCAGCCCGAGGACUGCGAGGACGGGGAGGACGCGCCGCGGCCAGGCAGGAAGAAGACCGGCACCCAGACAGGUGGCGACGGCAGAGGAGAAGGAAAAUACAUGUACAGCCAACUU